AGGAGAGAUGGCUUAAGGGGGUACGAGGGCUUCUUCCACGUAUUCGCUCCAGGAUGGGACUGCGACCGAUCAGGCUGUUGGCGGGGUAAUGGCCCACCAAACCUGUAACCGGUACGGGCCUUGAGAGAGGUGGCCCGGAGAUGGACACUGAGAGAAGGGUCCAGGUCCUACGGGGCGCAGCAGGCGCGAAACCUUCGCAAUGCGCGAAAGCGUGACGAGGUUAAUCCGAGUGACUCCCGCUGAGGGGGUCUUUUGUCAGCUGUAAAUAGGCAGGCGAAUAAGGGGAGGGCAAGCCUGGUGUCAGCCGCCGCGGUAAUACCAGCUCCUCGAGUGGUCGGGACGAUUAUUGGGCCUAAAGCAUCCGUAGCCGGUUCCGUAGGUCUUCUGUUAAAUCCAACAGCUUAACUGUUGACCUGCAGAGGAUACCGCGGGACUAGGAGGCGGGAGAGGCGGACGGUACUCCGCGUGUAGGGGUAAAAUCCCUUGAUCCGCGGAAGACCACCAGUGGCGAAGGCGGUCCGCCAGAACGCGCUCGACGGUGAGGGAUGAAAGCUGGGGGAGCGAACCGGAUUAGAUACCCGGGUAGUCCCAGCCGUAAACGAUGCUAGCUAGAUGAUUCAUUCGCAAGUCGCGAAUGAAGUGUCGCAGGGAAGCCGUUA
Molecule: ribosomal RNA, 659 nt
Filed under: uncultured archaeon
Lineage: Archaea
Description: bacterial SSU rRNA
Rfam family: Archaeal small subunit ribosomal RNA
Source: RNAcentral